RNAcentral lists this ribosomal RNA (468 nucleotides) under uncultured bacterium. Its description in RNAcentral is "partial 16S ribosomal RNA". It matches the Rfam family "Bacterial small subunit ribosomal RNA", at positions 28 to 507 of the family's 1533-position model. The record is from RNAcentral.
GACGAACGCUGGCGGCGUGCUUAACACAUGCCAGUCGAACGGAAAGGCCCUGCUUUUGUGGGGUGCUCGAGUGGCGAACGGGUGAGUAACACGUGAGUAACCUGCCCUUGACUUUGGGAUAACUUCAGGAAACUGGGGCUACUACCGGAUAGGAGCUCCUGCUGCAUGGUGGGGGUUGGAAAGUUUCGGCGGUUGGGGAUGGACUCGCGGCUUAUCAGCUUGUUGGUGGGGUAGUGGCUUACCAAGGCUUUGACGGGUAGCCGGCCUGAGAGGGUGACCGGCCACAUUGGGACUGAGAUACGGCCCAGACGCCUACGGGAGGCAGCAGUGGGGAAUAUUGCACAAUGGGCGGAAGCCUGAUGCAGCAACGCCGCGUGCGGGAUGACGGCCUUCGGGUUGUAAACCGCUUUCGCCUGUGACGAAGCGUGAGUGACGGUAAUGGGUAAAGAAGCACCGGCUAACUACGUG